This 180-nucleotide ribosomal RNA is filed under the name uncultured Glomeromycotina. Its description in RNAcentral is "partial small subunit ribosomal RNA". Lineage: Eukaryota; Fungi; Glomeromycota. The record is from RNAcentral.
GGGUCAGUAGAUUGGUCGUGCCACUGGUAUGUACUGGUCUUACUGGCUCCUCCUUCCUGAUGAACCGUAAUGCCAUUAAUUUGGUGUUGCGGGGAGACUGGACUGUUACUUUGAAAAAAUUAGAGUGUUUAUGGCAGGCCGGAGUGCUUGAAUACAUUAGCAUGGAAUAAUGGAAUAGGA